Molecule: ribosomal RNA, 492 nt
Filed under: uncultured bacterium
Lineage: Bacteria
Description: partial 16S ribosomal RNA
Rfam family: Bacterial small subunit ribosomal RNA
Source: RNAcentral
AGUGAACGCUGGCGGUAGGCCUAACACAUGCAAGUCGAACGGCAGCACAAUAAGAGCUUGCUCUUACGGGUGGCGAGUGGCGGACGGGUGAGGAAUACAUCGGAAUCUACUUUUUCGUGGGGGAUAACGUAGGGAAACUUACGCUAAUACCGCAUACGACCUACGGGUGAAAGCAGGGGAUCUUCGGACCUUGCGCGAUUGAAUGAGCCGAUGUCGGAUUAGCUAGUUGGCGGGGUAAAGGCCCACCAAGGCGACGAUCCGUAGCUGGUCUGAGAGGAUGAUCAGCCACACUGGAACUGAGACACGGUCCAGACUCCUACGGGAGGCAGCAGUGGGGAAUAUUGGACAAUGGGCGCAAGCCUGAUCCAGCCAUACCGCGUGGGUGAAGAAGGCCUUCGGGUUGUAAAGCCCUUUUGUUGGGAAAGAAAAGCAGCAGGUUAAUACCCCGCUGCUCUGACGGUACCCAAAGAAUAAGCACCGGCUAACUUCGUG